UAAUUAAAAAUAAAUUUACAAUGUGGGUUUUAUUUCCACUAAUUUAUACUACAUCCAGGGCUUGAAACUUGUGGUGAGAAGGUAUUUAGUUUGUGUAUUUUGGUCCCAAUAUAGCAUGUAUAUCGGUGCAAAAUAAGCCGAAUGUGUCAGAGAAGAAAGGCUACUCCUCUUAUGAUCAGUUAAGUCACUCCUCUUGUGCUUUGAUUCGUUUUUCAAAUUCCUUCAUGAUUCCGUCUUUGAAAUGUUUCAGAAAAGUGUAUCAGAUAACAGAUCGAGAAAAUCAAAAUAUGCAGGAUUGAUGUGGUCAAAGAUGCAAGAAUCAAAUUCAUAUUGAUGUAUAUGUAUCUUGGGGAUCAUUUUGUUUUCAUUUUGAAAGCUCAAAAGCGUAAGAUUAUAUCUACUAUUGAUCUAAUAGAUGUUGGCAUCAAGUAAUUUAAAAAAAAAAAAUCUUUUAUAACUUUCAUCAAUCUUCUGAAAGAAUAAUUGUUCGCAUAUAUAAUUUAACAAAACUACUCGAUUACUUUUCUUUUCUAGCGCUUUACUUUUUAUGAGCCGUAGCAGAAAUGUUAUAACCACACAAAGUUUGACAUCUUGAAAAAUGAGAAGCAUAGAAAGGAGUUUUCUGUUAUCCUAAUAUCCAUAAAAUUAUAGAGUUUUGAAAUGUGGAGGGGUAAAAAACAUUGUGCAGUGGCGGUCCAACUAAUUAACCUCUGCAUAAGAAAUUAAGGACAAAGGGAACAUGGCACACUGCGCACUUUAUAUCUUGGGGCUUAGACUAUGUUGUGUGCCAAAAAGAUUUGAAUCUCUGAAAAGAAAUCCACUUUCAUUCUCUAGUUUUACUUUUCCACCAAACUAAUUUGGUUUGCCACAUUUUCCUCCAUUGAUGAGAGGAGAAAGUGGAAGAAAAGGCUGGCUAAUGCGCGACUUUAUCUGAGUCAAACAUAAAGUCAUAAGCCAAGGUUUAGAUAGGUUAUUUUCGAAAACUACUUUUGUCCUCUACAUAUAUGCUCAAAACAGCAUCCAAACAACACAACAAGGGGGUGAAGCCAAUUCAUAAUCCAGUGGGGUAGAAAAAAUAAACUAAUGAGAUUCUAGAACUGGAGCAAGGGGAACAAAAAUGGACAUUAGAUAGGAUAGGUUUUGAGGUAAAAGAUAGGAGGAAUUUGUUAGAUAAAAAGAAGUUAGCUAGAAAAGAAGGGGUUGGAAUUGGGGGCGUGCGGCAAAAAAUGUUGAAAAAGCAAGAAAGGAAAGGGCAAUAUAAAAACAAAAAGAAUUAUGUAAAAGAUGUUUUACACACAUAUAUAUCAGAGUGUUGAGUGGUGCGAGAAUCAAGAAGUAUCAUCAGACCAGGUAUAUGGUACUGGACAAACAUUCAAAAUAUGCUUAUCUUGGAAUCUUUUUCUCUAUCUCUGUAAACAAUGAAUUAUUGCUUCCAAGCUUCAGAAUGCCGGGAACAUUAUUGCGUUAUGUGUACAGUAACUAACAUUUCUGUCCCCAUAAACUUGGCUUUUGCACCAGGACAACCAUUCCAUUCAGAAGCCCACAUAUUCUAUUUCUAUCUUGUACUUAGUAUGUGUCUUCCUCCUCUUAACAUUUUUUUACACUUAUAUUCUCUCAAACUCUGCCAUCCUCAUUCUUUUCAUCACUUUCUCAUUCUUUAUUCCCAUCGGUAUACUAUACAUAUAUAUAUGUCUCUCUGAUCUGCCAAAUUCCAUCUUUAACUAAACCCUAUAAAGCUCAUCUCAUAACCAUUUCAAUAUAUUCAUCCACUUCAUAUACAGUCACAAACAGCCUUUUACUGCUUUUCAAUUUAAUAAUUGCCCUUCACAUAAACAAUCUUCAACCCUCAAUCCAUUAAAUCUCAAACACAUCUCACUAAUUCAUCUACCAGUCAACACAAUCACACUGUGUCCAUGGGAAUAAUAAUACUGUUACAACCACCCAAUCAUUUUGUGCCCCAAUAAUUUUGUUUCAACAAAAUUUUCCACAAGCAAUAACAGUGGUAGAAGAACCAGAUUUUACUAAUAUUAACAGAUAAUUAAUUCUUCUGUGUUAUGUACAAAAAAGACAGUGUAUAUAUGUAGUUGAAUAUGUGAAAGGAUUAGUUUAUAUUAAUUUUGGAAGCAUAGAUAAAUAGGAAAUAAAAAAAACAUGAAAUGGGGUCAUGUUUCCUUUUCCUGGCAAACAAGAGCUGGAGGGCAUAAAAAAGUUGGCACCACGGUUUUCGUGAUAAUUCUUUUUCUUUCUUAGUUGCCACAAUACAAAAAGGAGAGAGAAUAGAGAGGUGUAUGAAGUAGUCUCUUUCUCUUUCUCAGAGAGAUGGCACGAACUACCUUGGAUUUUUCUUCAACCUUUCAACGCCCUCACCCAACAGCAAUCAUCAUGCCCUCACCCUCCUUCCCCCUCUCUCUGACCGUCCAUAACCAUCAUCAUUACCCCCUCAAGGCUCCCACCCCUUCCUUUAUCAGAAACAUCAUCAUCAUCAUCAUCCACCAACACCUUUUGCUCCUGAUCAUCACCACCUUCACCAUCACAGCCACAACGCACAAGAACAACACCACCAACACAAUCAAGGAACAUCCAAACAUGCUGCUGCUUAGCUUCUACUCAUCACAAAACCCUACUUUCGCACCUAGCUAGCUUCAGCAACUUAUACAUAUAUAUUGAGUCGUGAGAAGGGUCUAGCUUUUGCUGCCAGGAUCCAGCCACUCACACUCUUGGGGAAUCAAGCGUCUCGGUCCGAUCCAUUUUCUGUUUCCUUUUCUCUUUAAGUAUAUUAAUUCUAUGUUACUUAUUAAGUAGCCUUUUUUUUUCUUUUCUUUCCAAUUUUAUACCAAAUUUUAGUUUCAUUCGCAGAAGGAUUCUGUUAGUUUGCUUUAUCACCAUCUUCCUUCUCUCCUUCUAAGUGUGCAAGUGUUCUUACUUAUUGUGAUUGAUAAACUUCAAAAAUCAAAGGUUUGGGUACCAUAUACAUGCUUUCAACUUUUUUUCCUCCGUCCUAAAAUUGUUAGUGUAGAAACUCAUAAGGAGAUCAGAAUAUUGCUAGUCAGUAAUAUUUAAUUAAUGAUUCGUUUCUUUAGUUCGGGCAAUCAUAGUUCUGAGAAGAGUCAAGGAACUCUUUGUGACUUUGUCACUGUAUCCAUAUUCUGGGUAAAAGAAUGAUGCACCUAUAUUUGCUGGGUCUAGCUAGGGUUUCCCAGCAAUAUCUUUUUAAUUUACACUAGUUUGUUUACUUCCUUUUGGUGUAGAUUUUUAGUGAUGAUGCCUGGGAAAGAAUAUACAUAGAUACACAGACACAAAAGUAUGAAUCAGAAAUCAGAAUUCAUGGAUGAAUUAAGAUGAAUCGAGUUACCUAAUCAAGACUCAAGAGCAGAAAGUCUAAAUUAUUGACCAGAACUCCUUUUCCGUUGAAUUUUCUACAUCUUGUACUUCUUGCUUUCAAUGUUCUUUGUCCGUAACUCCACAAUCUCUAACUUUA
This 3478-nucleotide long non-coding RNA is filed under the name Phaseolus vulgaris (common bean). RNAcentral describes it as "long non-coding RNA (PVUL_LNC004152)". The record is from RNAcentral. Lineage: Eukaryota; Viridiplantae; Streptophyta; Magnoliopsida; Fabales; Fabaceae.